GACGAACGCUGGCGGCGUGCUUAACACAUGCAAUUCGAACGGAAAGGCCCUGCUUUUGUGGGGUGCUCGAGUGGCGAACGGGUUAGUAACACGUGAUUAACCUGCCCUUGACUUUGGGAUAACUUCAGGAAACUGGGGCUAAUACCGGAUAGGAGCUCCUGCUGCUUGGUGGGGGUUGGAACGUUUCGGCGGUUGGGGAUGGACUCGCGGCUUAUCAGCUUGUUGGUGGGGUAGUGGCUUACCAAGGCUUUGACGGGUAGCCGGCCUGAGAGGGUGACCGGCCACAUUGGGACUGAGAUACGGCCCAGACUCCUACGGGAGGCAGCAGUGGGGAAUAUUGCACAAUGGGCGGAAGCCUGAUGCAGCAACGCCGCGUGCGGGAUGACGGCCUUCGGGUUGUAAACCGCUUUCGCCUGUGACGAAGCGUGAGUGACGGUAAUGGGUAAAGAAGCACCGGCUAACUACGUG
This 468-nucleotide ribosomal RNA is filed under the name uncultured bacterium. RNAcentral's name for it is "partial 16S ribosomal RNA". It matches the Rfam family "Bacterial small subunit ribosomal RNA", at positions 28 to 507 of the family's 1533-position model. The record is from RNAcentral.